CACGUAGGGCGCAAGCGUUGUUCGGAAUUACUGGGCGUAAAGCGCACGUAGGCGGAUUUGUAAGUCAGGGGUGAAAUCCCGGGGCUCAACCUCGGAACUGCCUUUGAUACUGCAAAUCUCGAGUCCGGAAGAGGUGAGUGGAAUUCCUAGUGUAGAGGUGAAAUUCGUAGAUAUUAGGAAGAACACCAGUGGCGAAGGCGGCUCACUGGUCCGGUACUGACGCUGAGGUGCGAAGGCGUGGGGAGCAAACAGG
RNAcentral lists this ribosomal RNA (253 nucleotides) under uncultured bacterium. RNAcentral describes it as "partial 16S ribosomal RNA". It matches the Rfam family "Bacterial small subunit ribosomal RNA", at positions 524 to 776 of the family's 1533-position model. The record is from RNAcentral.